RNAcentral lists this ribosomal RNA (329 nucleotides) under uncultured eukaryote. RNAcentral describes it as "partial 18S ribosomal RNA". It matches the Rfam family "Eukaryotic small subunit ribosomal RNA", at positions 1470 to 1796 of the family's 1831-position model. The record is from RNAcentral.
CCCUUAGAUGUUCUGGGCCGCACGCGCACUACACUGAUGCAUUCAACGAGUCUAAAACCUGCUCUGAUAGGGGUGGGUAAUCUUUUGAAUGUGCAUCGUGAUUGGGAUAGAUGAUUGCAAUUUUUCAUCUUCAACGAGGAAUGCCUAGUAAACGCAAGUCAUCAGCUUGCAUUGAUUACGUCCCUGCCCUUUGUACACACCGCCCGUCGCUCCUACCGAUUGAAUGAUCCGAUGAAUAUCAUGGAUUGAGGAUGUAAGCAGGUUCGCCUGUCUUCAUCUUCGAGAAGUGAAGUAAAUCUUAUCAUUUAGAGGAAGGAGAAGUCGUAACA